This 714-nucleotide non-coding RNA is filed under the name Peronia peronii. Its description in RNAcentral is "12S ribosomal RNA". It matches the Rfam family "Microsporidia small subunit ribosomal RNA". The record is from RNAcentral. Lineage: Eukaryota; Metazoa; Mollusca; Gastropoda; Systellommatophora; Onchidiidae.
CACUUUGCUCUAAUGAACAAAAUUUUUUACCUUUACUGUGAUAUGGCAGCUUAGCAACGACCAGCAAGAAAUUUUGAACAAUUUUUGAAAGAAAAAUUCAGUUAAGGUAAAAUUGUAGGGCUUACCAGGUGCCAGCAGCCGCGGUCAUACUUGGCUACAAAAAUUUUGCUUUUGGGUGCUCCAGUAGUCUUAAAAUUAAAAAUUUUAGUGAAAUAUUUUUUUAAUAAAACCCAUCUGACUAAAAAGUUGAGUAAACUUCCUUAGUAAACUAGGAUUAGAUACCCUACUAUAUUCAAGCCCUAAUUAAAUAACACCUAAGCACUAAAAUCAUUCGAUUAAAACUUAAAAGAACAUGGCGGUCACAAAAAGGUUCAGGGGAACUUACCAAGUAAUAGAUAACCCACAAGACACCCUCCUUAUUUUUUUAAGUUUGUAUACCGCCGCUCUUGGCAUCACUUAUGGUGAUGCCACGAAAGCCUUUGCAAAAAGACAGGUCAUGAUGCAGCUAAUAUUUAAAGGUUUUUGGCGAGUUACAAUAAAACCUCUUUUUUUUAUAAAAAAUCUAAAAUUUUUUAUAGAAGUGGACUUGAAAGUAAUAUUUUAAAGUAGAAAUAAAAUCUGAAUUUUGCUCUUUUGUGGUGCACAAAUCGCCCGUCACUCUCGUUGAAAAAGGAGAUAAGUCGUAACACAGUAGGGGUAACGGAAGUUGCUCCU